Molecule: ribosomal RNA, 253 nt
Filed under: uncultured bacterium
Lineage: Bacteria
Description: partial 16S ribosomal RNA
Rfam family: Bacterial small subunit ribosomal RNA
Source: RNAcentral
UACAGAGGGUGCGAGCGUUAAUCGGAAUUACUGGGCGUAAAGCGCGCGUAGGCGGCUUUUCAAGUCGAUUGUGAAAUCCCCGGGCUUAACCUGGGAACUGCAGUCGAGACUGUCUAGCUAGAGUAUGGGAGAGGGAAGUGGAAUUUCAGGUGUAGCGGUGAAAUGCGUAGAUAUCUGGAGGAACACCGGUGGCGAAGGCGGCAUCCUGGACCGGUAUUGACGCUGAGGAGCGAAAGCCAGGGGAGCAAACGGG